GCUGGGCAUGGUGGCUCACGCCUGUAAUCCUAGCACUUUGGGAAGCUGAGGCGGGUGGAUCAUCUGAGGUCAGGAGUUCAAGACCAGCCUGGCCAACAUGGCGAGACCCCGCCUCUA
Molecule: non-coding RNA, 117 nt
Filed under: Pan troglodytes (chimpanzee)
Lineage: Eukaryota; Metazoa; Chordata; Mammalia; Primates; Hominidae
Source: Rfam by way of RNAcentral